RNAcentral lists this ribosomal RNA (460 nucleotides) under uncultured bacterium. RNAcentral's name for it is "partial 16S ribosomal RNA". It matches the Rfam family "Bacterial small subunit ribosomal RNA", at positions 338 to 795 of the family's 1533-position model. The record is from RNAcentral.
CCUACGGGUGGCAGCAGUGAGGAAUAUUGGUCAAUGGGCGCGAGCCUGAACCAGCCAAGUAGCGUGAAUGAUGACUGCCCUACGGGUUGUAAACUUCUUUUAUAAAGGAAUAAAUUAAUGCACUUGUGCCUUUUUCUAUGUACUUUUUGAAUAAGGAUCGGCUAAUUCCGUGCCAGCAGCCGCGGUAAUACGGAGGAUCCGAGCGUUAUCCGGAUUUAUUGGGUUUAAAGGGUGCGUAGAUGGGUUGUUAAGUCAGUUGUGAAAGUUUGCGGCUCAACUGUAAAAUUGCAAUUGAUACUGGCAGCCUUGAGUACAGUUGAGGUAGGCGGAAUUCGUGGUGUAGCGGUGAAAUGCUUAGAUAUCACGAAGAACAUCGAUUGCGAAGGCAGCUUACUAAACUGCCACUGACAUUGAUGCUCGAAAGUGUGGGUAUCAAACAGGAUUAGAUACCCUAGUAGUC